UCCAGCUCCUAUUGGCUCAGUGGAAGUGUCAAUCAUCUGCUCCUCCAGUGGGGUGAUGAGGGUGUCCUGCUCCUCUGAGGGGGAUCAGCUCCUCUACAGCUGGACUCUGAAUGGAGGUCCACUGAUGGAUGGAAACAGCAGCAUUGAUCUGGAUGAGGGAACUGAUGGAGACAUCAGCUGCAGCGUGAAGAACCACGUCAGUCACGCACAGAAGACCACUAGAGUCCAACCCUGUGCUGUGUCUGUGGUGUUUGUGCUGGUCUGGUGUCUUCAGCUGAUGGUUCUGUUGGGUCUGUUAGGAGGUUUUCACAUCUACAUGAGACACACGUCAGGAAAGAAGCAGGAAGAUCAGAAAGUGAGGAUGAGAAGAUUUAGAGAAGGACCUGAACACACAGCAGAAGAUUCAUGAGAGCAGCAGAUCUUCUGUAUUUUAUAUGAUUUUUAACAUGUUUAGACACAGAUGUCUAUUUUUUAUUCAUUUGUAAGUGGUAAGUGAUUCACUGCUAGUGGGUGACUUCAGUGAACCCAUCAACCAGCAUUUAUAUGUCUUUUUACAGUUUUAUAAAUUUGUUGACAUUUAUAAUGACAGUUGUAUAAAAGCAAGAGUAGUA
RNAcentral lists this long non-coding RNA (611 nucleotides) under Sinocyclocheilus grahami. Its description in RNAcentral is "lncRNA (ENSSGRG00000033071.1)". Lineage: Eukaryota; Metazoa; Chordata; Actinopteri; Cypriniformes; Cyprinidae. The record is from RNAcentral.